Long non-coding RNA from Musca domestica (house fly), 1894 nucleotides. RefSeq lists it as uncharacterized. The record is from RefSeq and is a predicted model, not a curated record. The transcript is spliced from 2 exons. Lineage: Eukaryota; Metazoa; Arthropoda; Insecta; Diptera; Muscidae.
CAAUUUUUUAUUAUGGAUUAAAUAUAUACGUUAUGUACUUUAUCAUCGUAAAAUAAAUUAAAUAUGGGGCAACAGGCAAUCUUUCCGCACAAAAGUUGUAACAAAUUUCUAUGAACAUCACCACUGUGGCGAGCAAGGCGCCGUUUCGUGGCCACCCUGUAUUAUCUGCAAUAUUUAAAAAAUAUUCCUGUUAUGCAGUUAAUUUCGAAUUUGUAGAAAUUAUCUGAAACGUUCCUAAAAUGUAAAUAAAUAAUCCAUGUUAUGGCAAUAGCAAGCGAAUUCAAUCAGCCAGAACAUCAUUAGUCUACAAUUACAACAACAACAAAAAACAAUAACUGAAACCCGCCUCAUCAUCGGCAGCAACAGCGGUCGCAAAUAUCAUUUACUUAAUAACCACAAAGUCAUCUGCUGUAGCCGGUUGCCAUUACAAUGCCGUUGUUCCACAGCUUAUACGCGACAUUGUAAGCGUGUGACCCAAGCAGACAACGACGACGACGACAUACAGGCAUCCCGAUAGGCAGGCAGUCAGCAACAUUCAGAUAUACUAUGCAAGAAAACAACAAAAAGUGCAAUGGCAUCACAGCUAUCAGGCUUAGCCUUGUGUCUGACAUGGUCAUAUGAUUAUCAUUGGCAAAACUGCAUCAUUAUCAUGUUAACAAUGCUAAGCAGAUGCAACAAAAACAACAACUUCAAUGAAGAUGAUGAUAUUUGUCAGCAGAAGAAGCGCUGGGCAAAACAUUUUUCCAUUCCACCAUACCAUUGAAGGCAGACGCCUAGGCGCAGUGGCCCUUAUUGCAUCGACGCGGGGAGAGAUCUACAUUUUUUUGGCAGACAAAAAUUGAAAACCAUAAACCUCCCCCUCGGGGUAUGUUUUUUUUUAGAGUGUAGACCUGCCAAAGAGCUGCAUUGUCCAACCAACCAACAAAAAAACUUGUUUGACCAGCAUGUGUCUCCUCAAAGCCAAGAUGAGCAGCAGAUAUCCUUGCUACAUGGCCAUUGCCAUCAUUUCGUUUGUCCCUGCUUCUCAUUUGCCCUUGUCGUGUGGCCAAAGCGACAAUGAAGGAAAGAAAAAGGAAGCAAAAAACCAGAUUGUUGCAGUCCAUAGCAGCAACAAUUUGGAAUUGUUUGCUGGUUGGGACGUCUCUCUUACUCUCUUUUGUGAUUUUCUUUUUUUUUUUGCUUCCUUUGCUCCAAACGGAACCAUAGAAUACUUUAGCAGACGUCUUUUUUUUUGGAGUUUCUUUUUUUUGUUUUGCUCUUUACCCGUUGCCAGGCCAAGUGUUAAUGGUCUUUUUUGUUUCAUCCUAAAAUUUUUGCAUGACUUUAAUAGAAUCUGGUUUUGCUGUUGAUUUAAUAAUAAUAGCCCUGCUGCUUGUUUGUCCUUCCCAUGUUGUCCUUUCGUUGGUUUAUUGUUUCCCCAACAAGUCCUUAAUCAUAUUUUGUGAUUUUCUCUCUCUUUCAUUUUGGAUAAUUGAGGUUUGAUUUAAAAAAAGUUGAAAUUAUGGUUAUGGGGUUGUUAAACAGGACAUUUGAACUUUCGCUUUUCGUAUUAUCACCAGACCGGAAAGGAAUUAAAUAAAAACAAAGAAUGCGAAUCUUUGCUUCAAGGAGAAGGGAAGUUUUCGUAAGGAAAUCCUUGGCAGAAUUGAAAUUUCGACGUGAAAUACCUAUUUCAGCCGGGCUGAAUUGAAACAAACCUCCAUUCAGGCGAGCUGAAUUAAAACCUUUUUUAUGAAAACUCCCCAUUCUGGUGGCUGUAAUGAAGUUUUCCUACGGCAGAACCUAUUGAGCCAAUUGAACUAGAUCAAAUAUAAGUUUUUCUUUUUCAAAAUUUUAUAUUUAUUUUCCAUUUAACAUCAUUGUUUAUUGAAUAGUUCUGAAACAUAAAUAUUUA